Molecule: long non-coding RNA, 826 nt
Organism: Capra hircus (goat)
Lineage: Eukaryota; Metazoa; Chordata; Mammalia; Artiodactyla; Bovidae
Exons: 3
Source: RefSeq, a predicted model, not a curated record
UGUGUCCACAUGGAACUGACAGACAUAGAAGUGUGUCUAGGCAACUUACCUUGAUGGACUUCGUUUCCUCUAGAUCAUUCAGGAAAUACUGAACUCAGAGUGCCAUAAAUUGUGGAAAUAUAAGGGCAAGCGUCUCUGUGAGAACCUGGUGUCAUGCUUCUGAUGAGUAUAAGAAGUAUGAACAAGCAAGAAUGGCCGAGGAAAUGCCGCAGGAGCCAUGGCCAAAGACCUGCCAGACACGCUUGUGUGUAAAGCCGAGCCUGUGAUACUGGCGAAGGUUAGACAGACAGCAGCUUAGGAGAUCAAGACGCGGCUAUACAUCGAAUGAAAAGUAUGUGGAUGAACCAAAAUCAUCACGCUCUCCCUUCUCUGGCCAGGCUGGUGCUUCAGGAGCCCCUCCACCUGCAGCCAGGAUCGAGAACCCCACUUCGGAGGUAGGAUGGACUAGAGCGUCCUGAGGCCCAAGGGCAAUGCUGGGGUAUGUCCGAGGCAGAUGGACUGGCCAGAGUCCUUCUGACUAGACUGUUUCAGUUGAGACGGAUGAAACCAGAGGAAGCCGGGACGGGGAAGGCCAGGGGCGCCGUCGUUCAUGUCGCUGUCAGGAGGGUACAGAAGCGGCUCUUCGGCGACUCAGGGACGUUUUCCUUUGCCAUAAGCAAAACCUCUUUAUCUAUGUCACAGGAGAAGAAGGGGAGGUCUGGAUAAAAGGCCGGUGCCCUCCUGGCCACGCCUCCCUCCACAUGAGUCAAGUGCCCAUCAUGGCAAAGGGGGAUGCAGGCAAAGGGGUGUUGGCCCCUUGAAAUCUCAUUCAUUCUCAAACCAAAGC